Molecule: small nucleolar RNA, 217 nt
Organism: Aotus nancymaae (Ma's night monkey)
Lineage: Eukaryota; Metazoa; Chordata; Mammalia; Primates; Aotidae
Source: Ensembl
AAGACUAUACUUUCAGGGAUCAUUUCUAUAGCUUGUUACUACAGAAGUUUCUCUGGACAUGUGGAGCACCAGAAACCAUGAGGAGGAGAUGUAGUGUUCUCUCCCAAGCAUGAAGCUGGCUCUUGGUGUUACUUUGCUGUACCUGCCAUUUGCCAUUGACAGUCAUUCUUCUCUUCCUCUGGGAGAGUAAGGAGGAGAGGACACAGUCUGAGUGGUU